AAAAAAAAAAAAAAAGAUUAUUAUUAUUUUUCUGAGAUGAAGAAAUACAUAAAUUAAAAGAAGUAUUUAUGAUGUAAAAGUAGCUUUUUCUUUUUCUUCUACUUUCUCCCCCAACCUUGUUUCAAAUAACUACUGGAGUAUGGAUUAUUAACCCCUUCGCAGCAGAGCAGAGAGCUCGCUAAGCCAGCAGUUCUGGAGUUAAAAGUAUGAAGAAUCAUUUGAGGCCUCGCUAAGACUGGGCUGUUUUGAAUUAUGGCUUUGUUGAGCCAAAGGUCAUUACAAUGGAUACGUAAAGCAAUAAAACUAGUGCAAGCAGUACUCUUUCCCUAUAAAGAUUAUCAUUAUUGGCUUAUUAAUAC
Non-coding RNA from Pelobates cultripes (western spadefoot toad), 359 nucleotides. The record is from the annotation of a GenBank genome assembly. Lineage: Eukaryota; Metazoa; Chordata; Amphibia; Anura; Pelobatidae.